CUCAGCUCUAGCUGGAGGCUGAUGACUUAAAUGGCAGUGGAGACUUCUAGAAACUGAGACUCAGUAAAGCACAGUGGGUACAUAUCUCGGCUUUGCCCUAUGCUGUCUGAGUAUCCUCGGACAGGCCACGCCCCUUCAUUGCCUCUGCUUCUUCAUCACCAACAGGAGGAGGAUGGGAAUGAGACUGAACAAGAUCACAAGCUCUAGAACCAACUGUCAACACUGCCCUCGCCCUGCUGAUUUGAAGAUUCAAAUCUCUGUCACUGGACACUUGAUCAGCCACCUCCUGAGAGGCAGCACAACUACAGUUAUGGAUAUCAAUGAAGACAUUUUAUGGUCGGGGUCAUCACAGCAUAAGGAACUUAAUGAAAGCGGCUCAGCAUGAAGAAGGUUGAGAGCCACUGGUGGAGAGGAAGCUCAUUCAAUGACUAGGAGCUGGAUUAGGAAGCUUUAAAAGUUAACUUCUAGACCUGGAGAGAUGGCUCAGUGGUUGAGAGCUCUUCCUGAGGACCUCCAGUUCCAGAAGAUACAAUGCCCGCCCGCUUCUGGCCUCCAUGGGCACUGUAUGUAUGGUGGUAUACAAACAUGGAAAAAUG
RNAcentral lists this long non-coding RNA (596 nucleotides) under Mus spicilegus (steppe mouse). RNAcentral describes it as "lncRNA (ENSMSIG00000018757.1)". Lineage: Eukaryota; Metazoa; Chordata; Mammalia; Rodentia; Muridae. The record is from RNAcentral.